This 754-nucleotide long non-coding RNA is filed under the name Equus caballus (horse). RNAcentral describes it as "lncRNA (ENSECAG00000042911.2)". The record is from RNAcentral. Lineage: Eukaryota; Metazoa; Chordata; Mammalia; Perissodactyla; Equidae.
GUUUCCCAAAGAGACUGGCAUUUGACUUUCCUCAGUAGACUGAGGAAAGAAGGUGCCCUCGCCCAGGUGCUUGAGGGCCUGACCAGGACAGAAAGGCAGAGGAACGGGGGGUUCACUCUCUGCUGGGGCUAGGGCAUCCAUCUUCUCCUGCCCGUGAACCCCAGUGCCCCUCAUUCUCAGGCCCUCGGACUCAGACUGACGGGCACUCCUGGCUCCCUGGGUCUGCAGCGCGCAGACGGCAGGCGGUGGGGCUUCUCAGCCUCUCCAACCGUGUGAGCCAGCUCCUACCAUGAGCCUCACACAGCUCUCCAUCUAUCCUGCUGGUUCUGUUUCUCUGGAAAACCCCAACUAACACACAGACCCCCUCUGGGCACCACGGUCCCAGAAGACGAGCGACCCAGUGAGGAAGGGAGCCGUGACAGCUGGAGGCGGGCUCUGCGAGGCAGGAGGCCACCGUCCUCCAUCUGAAACUGCCGCCCAGACACACAAAUCCGGCCUCCCAGCCCCAGAGGUUUGGUUUUUUCACUCAUAAUUUGGUCAUCUGUGCUAAAAUUGCAAAUAAUCACAAUGGCAUAAUAACCUUACGACUUGGUGCGUGGUGUGUUUAAGAGAAUGGAUACUUGGACCUGAAAAUGGAGUGUCUGGCUCAGGGGUCACCAACCUGCUGUAGCCAGCACCCAGAUCCAGCUCCCACCUCCUUUUGUCAAUAAAGCUUUAUUGGAACACAGCCACGCGCCUGCUUGCUGCUGUCCCG